CGAAAUUCCUUGUCGGGCAAGUUCCGACCUGCACGAAUGGCAUAACGAUGGCCACACUGUCUCCUCCUGAGACUCAGUGAAGUUGAAGUGUUUGUGAUGAUGCAAUCUCCCCGCGGCUAGACGGAAAGACCCCAUGAACCUUUACUGUAGCUUUGCAUUGGACUUUGAACCGAUCUGUGUAGGAUAGGCGGGAGCCUGUGAAACCACAACGCCAGUUGUGGCGGAGGCGUCCUUGAAAUACCGCCCUGAUUUGUUUGAGGUUCUAACCUGGGACAGUCAUCCUGUCCGGGGACCGUGCAUGGUAGGCAGUUUGACUGGGGCGGUCUCCUCCUAAAGGGUAACGGAGGAGUGCGAAGGUACGCUAGGUACGGUCGGAAAUCGUGCUGAUAGUGCAAUGGCAAAAGCGUGCUUGACUGCGAGACCCACAAGUCGAGCAGAUACGAAAGUAGGUCAUAGUGAUCCGGUGGCUCUGUAUGGAAGGGCCAUCGCUCAACGGAUAAAAGGUACUCUGGGGAUAACAGGCUGAUACCGCCCAAGAGUUCAUAUCGACGGCGGUGUUUGGCACCUCGAUGUCGGCUCAUCUCAUCCUGGGGCUGUAGCCGGUCCCAAGGGUAUGGCUGUUCGCCAUUUAAAGAGGUACGUGAGCUGGGUUUAAAACGUCGUGAGACAGUUUUGUCCCUAUCUGCCGUGGGCGCUGGAAGAUUGACGGGGGCUGCUCCUAGUACGAGAGGACCGGAGUGGACUCACCUCUGGUGUACCGGUUGUCACGCCAGUGGCAUCGCCGGGUAGCUAUGUGGGGAAGAGAUAACCGCUGAAAGCAUCUAAGCGGGAAACUUGCCUGAAGAUAAGUCUUCCUGGAGGCUAGACCUCCCUAAAGAGUCGUUCGAGACCAGGACGUUGAUAGGAUGGGUGUGUAAGUGCUGUGAGGCACUCAGCUAACCAUUACUAAUUGCUCGUGAAGCUUGAUCCU
Molecule: ribosomal RNA, 970 nt
Filed under: human gut metagenome
Description: bacterial LSU rRNA
Rfam family: Bacterial large subunit ribosomal RNA
Source: RNAcentral